UUUAAUUCGACGCAACGCGAAGAACCUUACCAAGUCUUGACAUCCUGUGACAGACGUAGAAAUACGUUCUUCCUUCGGGACACAGAGACAGGUGGUGCAUGGUUGUCGUCAGCUCGUGUCGUGAGAUGUUGGGUUAAGUCCCGCAACGAGCGCAACCCUUAUGGUCAGUUACUACGCAAGAGGACUCUGGCCAGACUGCCGUUGACAAAACGGAGGAAGGUGGGGAUGACGUCAAAUCAUCAUGCCCUUUAUGACUUGGGCUACACACGUACUACAAUGGCGUUAAACAAAGAGAAGCAAGACCGCGAGGUGGAGCAAAACUCAGAAACAACGUCCCAGUUCGGACUGCAGGCUGCAACUCGCCUGCACGAAGUCGGAAUUGCUAGUAAUCGUGGAUCAGCAUGCCACGGUGAAUACGUUCCCGGGCCUUGUACACACCGCCCGU
RNAcentral lists this ribosomal RNA (445 nucleotides) under uncultured bacterium. Its description in RNAcentral is "bacterial SSU rRNA". It matches the Rfam family "Bacterial small subunit ribosomal RNA", at positions 945 to 1397 of the family's 1533-position model. The record is from RNAcentral.